UACGGAGGAUGCAAGCGUUAUCCGGAAUGAUUGGGCGUAAAGCGUCUGUAGGUGGUUUCUUAAGUCCACUGUCAAAGAUCAGGGCUUAACCUUGGGCAGGCAGUGGAAACUAUGAAGCUUGAGUACGGUAGGGGCAGAGGGAAUUCCCGGUGUAGCGGUGAAAUGCGUAGAGAUCGGGAAGAACACCAAGGGCGAAAGCACUCUGCUGGGCCGAAACUGACACUGAGAGACGAAAGCUAGGGGAG
This 245-nucleotide ribosomal RNA is filed under the name uncultured bacterium. RNAcentral's name for it is "partial 16S ribosomal RNA". It matches the Rfam family "Bacterial small subunit ribosomal RNA", at positions 524 to 768 of the family's 1533-position model. The record is from RNAcentral.